This is a vault RNA of Oncorhynchus kisutch (coho salmon), 102 nucleotides long. Its record names the gene Vault. It matches the Rfam family "Vault RNA". From Rfam's summary of the family: This family of RNAs are found as part of the enigmatic vault ribonucleoprotein complex. The complex consists of a major vault protein (MVP), two minor vault proteins (VPARP and TEP1), and several small untranslated RNA molecules. The record is from Ensembl. NCBI's taxonomy places the organism in Eukaryota, Metazoa, Chordata, Actinopteri, Salmoniformes, Salmonidae.
GCGCUGGUGUAGCUCAGUGGUUACUUCGAAAACUUUCUCUAUCAGAAAUGUUCUGUACGCUCUGCAAAGGGGUUCGAACCACGGGCGCUGUCCAGUGUUUUG